AGACAAGCCAACAAAACCCGAUAAGUAACAGGAGUUUCGCAGUUGGAUGAACACAGGCCGAACAUUCACGACCGAAGAAGCCAAACGAGGAACGUGAAACGACGAAGGAGGUGUUCUCUGUUCGGGAACAAGAAAGGAGGCGACGAACGAAGGGGUAAGCGGACAGAGAAUGAGCCGAGGGGAGUGAUGAUUUGGUGGAACCAAACCGGUGCUGCCAGUGCUGUCGCGACGAGGAGAGUGUCACGCUCUCUCUGCUGUGCGUGGAAGAAACGAGGAGAGGGUCGCGCUUCGAGCAAGGCGACAGGAACGCCAGGAAGUAACACGCUUGCUAUUGUGAGCAACCAGUACCACUUUGGCGGCUCUUUUUGCCUUGAUGCUGGGAUUAUUAGGAGAAACGCGAGUCUGUCUCGUUGUUCGGCAAAAGGAGGUGGCGUUGGAGAGUCUGGAUCGAAGCGAAGGUGGUGGAGGAUUAAGAGUAUACUGGGAAGACUGGAAAGGGAUUUUCUGAGAAGUUUUCGGGAAGUUUUACAAUUACAUUUCGAUUAUUUUAAACGGACAGCAUACAGAAUAUUGUGAUUCGAGAUUACUACAGAUUAUCUCCUUUGGACUUUCGAAUAUCAAUAUUUCCAUAUGAACCUCUCUCGUGAACUCACAAGAAAAUUAUGAUACUGAAGAGGUUUUAUGAAAUUGCGCUGACCCAGUUUCCCUUGCUUUCCUUGUACACGAUUGGAUUGAAUGGCGUCUCGUGGAUUGAUCCUAGUUUAACGGGGACAGGUACUAUCGUCGCAAGAAUCUAUGGUUUGUCUUUCACUCCUUCAGAUAUUCUGAUUUUAUCUCACCUUUGUAACUUAUUAUCGAUAAUUGACGAUGUAGAAAACGAUAAUUCUAAGGAUUCCAACUUCAAUGCGACUGUUAGGUUCGUGACAUGAAACGGAGAAAGUUUGUGUUUCAGAUAAGAUGGAACUUAUUACGCUCCAUCAUUCAGUUAUUUAAGAAAACCCAAUAGUUUGUGAACUGAAAAUAAGUUCCUUGGAAAUAUUUCCUUCGUGUAUCACGCACAAUUAAACAUCUUCGAAAUUAAGAAGCCAAAUUAGACGAUUCCACUUUUCGAAAUGUCCUCAGUUUUAUCUGUUACCAAUCAUGUUUGAACAUAAAGUUGUCAUAUUACAAAACACUUCCUUAUGUUCAAUUAACAGCACAAUCGAUUCUUGUUUCUCGAUAUUUCUAUUUUAAUUAUGAUUAUAAGAAUUAUAGAUUUCAGCAAUGAUCAUUUUCCACCACUUCCAAACGUAAAACUACUAUGCUACACCUUUUCCGUCUAAAAUACAGCUCUUAAAAAUCGAAGCUACAGGAAUUAAAUUAAAGGAAAAUCCUGCAGCUAUUUUGCUUGUAUACGUCUGUUAAUUGUUGUUAAUUAAAUAAUACCAAGAUUCACUGAUUGUUUUCAAAAAUUUUGCACUUCCAUCACUAUGCGUGGCAUUUGGGAAACGUGUGCCUCUCGACGCUUGGAACCAUACCUGUAGUAUAGUUGCCAUACUUCUUUAACGAAAAGACAGUAAAGAUAGUCAGAAGACUUGUUAACCAAAGGACAAUAACGUUUUACUUGGCUGGCUCAUUUGAAUUGGUAAACUCAGUUUCGAUGGGAAAACCAAAGAGGAAAAUCGUGGCUAGGCGAAACUAAAAACGUAGCCGGUUCCAUCGGAGACAGUGGCACGGUGUGUCAGUGACCCUGCGGUCGAGGCUGCUGCAGCAGGAAAACGCGAAACCGCCGCGCGGGUAGAUAUCAAUUUGUCUGUGUUCGCUAGGAAAAAAAGUUGGCCGGCCUUCUGACGUUCGCCGCUGAUAUUGCCCGCAGUUCACGCUGACGUGCCAUUUACUCACUCGAACGACCUCCUCACGGCCGUUCGUUCUACCUCCUGCCGUUCCACCUCCUCAUCAGCGUUCCACGAUCGUUCGUUUUAUCGAGGAAGCUCAGGAUGAAAGAUAAUAUCGAGACUGAUUAAAUAUAGCAGAACGCUCCAGCAAGAUUUUCGUCCUUUUAAUGGGAAUACGGGAAUACGAGAAGGGAAAUAUUGGAAUCUUUCGACUUACUUAAGACGGAACUUAACUCUUUGGCGCGUGGAUGAAUAUGAUCUUUGUUUGAGAGAACAACGCUUGGAUAGGAAAGGAAAAGGCGCAACUACAAGACUGUCUUCUUUUCUUAAACGCGGACAAAAAUUGCCCAUUAUGCGAUAAUUACACUGAUACAUUGGAGUAAGGCAAUAAUGUAAUAAUUGCAAAUGCAAUUCUCAAGAGUUCCACCAUUUGUAAACACAAGAUCGAAAAAUAGUGAACCGAGCAACCUGCUUGUUGCCUUUUCUACGACAUUUCCAGGUUGGAAAAAUUUGCCAAACGUUCAGCUGGACGAAUUGUAAAGUAGAAAUUAAAUAAGUAGAAAAAAAGUUUCCAACAAACAGCAGCUUAUAGAAACAUUUUGAAGCAACGUAAUCUGCAGCUGGAUUCGCACUGAAGCGACAACGAGGAAUUUUUUGUCGCUUUUUGUUGUUACGUGUUGCAGGACAUUUCCAACGAACAGUAACUCAUAGAAAUAAUUUCUGUACACUGGUGAAAGUUUUCAAUAAACACGGAACAGCAAAAAGUUGCUUGAUGUUGCUUCAUCAAGCGACAUAUAUAUAUAUGUAUUUUUAAUGCUUCCAGAUUAGCGCAGAUUUAAU
Bombus pyrosoma is the source of this 2714-nucleotide long non-coding RNA. RefSeq lists it as uncharacterized. The transcript is spliced from 6 exons. NCBI's taxonomy places the organism in Eukaryota, Metazoa, Arthropoda, Insecta, Hymenoptera, Apidae. The record is from RefSeq and is a predicted model, not a curated record.